Molecule: long non-coding RNA, 205 nt
Filed under: Ananas comosus (pineapple)
Lineage: Eukaryota; Viridiplantae; Streptophyta; Magnoliopsida; Poales; Bromeliaceae
Description: long non-coding RNA (ACOM_LNC019692)
Source: RNAcentral
UGUUCUUCAUGACGGCAUCGUGGAUUCGGCGUGAUUGACGGCGGUUCAUGGAUUCAGAUCGUGAGCUUCGUGGAUUCGGAAUGGAGACGUUUCGUGGAUUCGGAACAUGGCGUUCGUGGAUUCGAACGUGAGAGCGUGGACAACCCGGAGGAUUGCAUAAGAUUCAUAGGAGGUUAAGAGUGGUCGAGUCCGUAGAGUCGGUAAU